RNAcentral lists this ribosomal RNA (548 nucleotides) under uncultured bacterium. RNAcentral's name for it is "bacterial SSU rRNA". It matches the Rfam family "Bacterial small subunit ribosomal RNA", at positions 373 to 917 of the family's 1533-position model. The record is from RNAcentral.
GGCGCAGCUGAUCAUCCAUGCCGCGUGUGUGAAGAAGGCCUUCGGGUUGUAAAGCACUUUCGGCCGGGACGAAAUCGCUCGGGAUAACACCCAAGGUGGAUGACGGUACCGGAAGAAGAAGCACCGGCUAACUACGUGCCAGCAGCCGCGGUAAUACGUAGGGUGCAAGCGUUAAUCGGAAUUACUGGGCGUAAAGCGUGCGCAGGCGGUUUUGUAAGCCAGACGUGAAAUCCCCGGGCUUAACCUGGGAACUGCGUUUGGAACUGCAAGGCUAGAGUGCGGCAGAGGAAGGUGGAAUUCCUGGUGUAGCAGUGAAAUGCGUAGAUAUCAGGAGGAACAUCGAUGGCGAAGGCAGCCUUCUGGGCUAGCACUGACGCUCAUGCACGAAAGCGUGGGGAGCAAACAGGAUUAGAUACCCUGGUAGUCCACGCCCUAAACUAUGACGACUAGUUGUCGGGGAUUUAACAUCCUUAGUAACGCAGCUUAACGCGUGAAGUCGUCCGCCUGGGGAGUACGGUCGCAAGAUUAAACUCAAAGGAAUUGACGGG